UACGUAGGGUGCGAGCGUUGUCCGGAAUUAUUGGGCGUAAAGAGCUCGUAGGCGGUCUGUCGCGUCUGCUGUGAAAUCCCGAGGCUCAACCUCGGGUCUGCAGUCGAUACGAGCAACUAGAGUGUUGCAGGGGAGACUGGAAUUCCUGGUGUAGCGGUGAAAUGCGCAGAUAUCAGGAGGAACACCGGUGGCGAAGGCGGGUCUCUGGGCAACAACUGACGCUGAGGAGCGAAAGCGUGGGGAGCGAACAGG
RNAcentral lists this ribosomal RNA (252 nucleotides) under uncultured bacterium. Its description in RNAcentral is "partial 16S ribosomal RNA". It matches the Rfam family "Bacterial small subunit ribosomal RNA", at positions 524 to 776 of the family's 1533-position model. The record is from RNAcentral.